Molecule: non-coding RNA, 73 nt
Organism: Ovis aries (sheep)
Lineage: Eukaryota; Metazoa; Chordata; Mammalia; Artiodactyla; Bovidae
Source: Rfam
UCCCUGGUGGUCCUGUGGUUAAGACUCCAAGCUUCCAGUGCACUGGGUCCAGGUUCGAUCCCUGGUCAGGGAA